RNA transcript from Rhagoletis zephyria (snowberry fruit fly), 1906 nucleotides. RefSeq lists it as uncharacterized. Lineage: Eukaryota; Metazoa; Arthropoda; Insecta; Diptera; Tephritidae. The record is from RefSeq and is a predicted model, not a curated record.
UUGCAGCUCUCAUAACUGUAUCUUGCUUAGUUAUAUAUGGGCUGAUUAAUUCAAGAAUAUGGUCGAAACUUUCAGUGGAGAUCCGAAAGUAAUUUUCGUAGUCGCUUAAUUCCUUGCAAAGUCGAAUCGAAUCCAAUAAUCUCAAAUGAGUGUACCUAUGCCGCUCCAGGUACCAUCUUUGACUCCAAUACUUCCACUUUGUUUCUUUUUUUAAUGAAAAUGCCAGUAAUAUGGCUAAACACGCUCUUUUAGAAUUUUCUUGCAUUUUUCUUAUUUAAAAACGACUUGCACAGUUCAAAAGUUUGAAAAUAAUGACGCGAUAAAUAUUGAAGGUGUAGCAUAGCAGAGAGUGGAGCAUCAUGCAUCAAUAUGGAUCACGAUACUGGAUCGCGAUCCAUAUUGAUCGUGAGACAGGGCCCAAUGUGAUAAUCGUGUGUAAAAACUCUUUUCAACUAUUAUUUUUAACAAAAUAAUUUUGCGGAUCAGAUUGCUCCGAGCGCUUGUGUGGUUUACCAAGAAAAUGCAGCCCUGUUGGUUUUUAUUUCUGUAUCGCAUCGCGACUAUUAAUUACAAACACAGCAUCAUCAUGAUGAUUGCAAGAACUACUGCAAUCCCUGCGGUUUUUCCUCUUGGUAAAUGCGUUCUGGUCGUGACCAAGGGUGGUCUCCCAAAUCGGCCGGGAAUAAGGCUAUUGUUUCAGAACAAAACGCCGCAACGACUGCUGUGGUAAAUAUGUUUCAGCAGAACUGCCCACCGCCGUCGGUGUAAUGAUUUCGAUAGCUGAACAAACGCCAUCUUCUGGGCAUUCCCACAGCUUGCCGACACUAGCUAUUAUAUCACGUGUGAAUGCAACUGCGGCUAAAUUUGGUUAUUAACAGUGCAAUAGUACCAUGUCAUUGGCAAAAACAAUAGUGGCUGCUGGCACAUAGAGGUUGUAAAGUUUUUGGUAUCGAUGAAUUUACUCGAAGAAGACGAUGGCCGAAAACAUAUGUUGGCAUGCCUUUGACAAUCGUUAAGUCAGACGGAGGCUACACAUACGAUCUUUCACACAAGGCUGGAAUUCGUUAGCGGACAGAGCACACAUUUACAAAAUAUUUAUCGUUCUGCAGAACGUUCAUGCAUAUUCGAUUCCGAUUUUAUGGGUCGAUUACGGAGGACAACCGAACUUCAGUUGGUAGGCCAGUAGCUGAAAUGGUAUUACCGAUGGCAACUAGCAACUGAAAGCUGGCAACUAAGUUGCUAUAUUGGCAACUGCAUUUUUGUGGCUGCCGGGAAAUUUUGAUUGAGAUACUUUAUUUCUUUUUUCAACUUUUUUUUUUAAUUGUACCACCUUGAACUUUAUGAAACUUAAUUAUUGCUAUUCAUAAUAAAAAACAUUUUCAUUUCAGUGGCGCUGUCCAUCGGCAACCCAACUGAGGUUCCGUUCCCAUCCAUAAUCGAUCCAUAAGUCAUAAUCGCACGAACUAAUCAAGGCUAUCAUAGAAUCCAUCGUAGUCCGAUUUUUCGUGAAAUCUACGAAAAUGCUAUUAAGUUCGAGUGGCUACGAACGCAGCGCUUGCUUUUGAUACACACGUUCAUAGCAGUUCAGAUUCAGUGAUCGCUUUUUCGUAGAUUUUAAGAAAAAUCGGACUACGAUGGAUUCCGCCACCAAUAUGUUUUCUCCUUUGACAAGAUGUUGGAGAAUCGCGGCAGCACAGCCGUAUACCUACUCUAUGCUCUUACGCGCAUAUGCUAAAUUCCUCGCACCUAGCUAAAGUGCUUGACAGAGGCAUAUCUUCAACAUUAUAACUUAAAGUAAAAAAGUUUAAGGCACGCAAGAAAAGAAUACAACAGAACCAAAAAAUGUUCUCAAAACUAUUACACAUAAAAAAUUGCACGAAUAAAAUUCAUAAUUUAAAAUAAAAUA